GGUUCAGGACGAACGCUGGCGGCGUGCCUAAUACAUGCAAGUCGAACGGUCUUUCUAUGGAAGCUUGCUUCCACUGAGAAGAUAGUGGCGAACGGGUGAGUAACACGUGGGUAACCUGCCCAUAAGAGGGGGGAUAACAUCCGGAAACGGGUGCUAAUACCGCAUAGUUUUCUUGAUCGCAUGAUCGGGAAAGGAAAGACGGCCUUUGUGCUGUCGCUUAUGGAUGGACCCGCGGCGUAUUAGUUAGUUGGUGAGGUAACGGCUCACCAAGACGAUGAUACGUAGCCGACCUGAGAGGGUGAUCGGCCACAUUGGGACUGAGACACGGCCCAAACUCCUACGGGAGGCAGCAGUAGGGAAUCUUCCGCAAUGGACGAAAGUCUGACGGAGCAACGCCGCGUGAGUGAAGAAAGGUUUUCGGAUCGUAAAACUCUGUUGUCAGAGAAGAACAAGUUGGAGAGUAACUGCUCCAGCCUUGACGGUAUCUGACCAGAAAGCCACGGCUAACUACGUGCCAGCCGCUGC
Molecule: ribosomal RNA, 525 nt
Filed under: uncultured bacterium
Lineage: Bacteria
Description: bacterial SSU rRNA
Rfam family: Bacterial small subunit ribosomal RNA
Source: RNAcentral